This is a long non-coding RNA of Xenia sp. Carnegie-2017, 655 nucleotides long. RefSeq lists it as uncharacterized. The transcript is spliced from 2 exons. The record is from RefSeq and is a predicted model, not a curated record. Lineage: Eukaryota; Metazoa; Cnidaria; Anthozoa; Malacalcyonacea; Xeniidae.
ACAGCCCAAUUGGACGACAUAAGAAAACUAUUUUGUGGUCCUAACAUUGAUAGCACUUUCAAUCAGAUCGAGCGUUGUAGUGACAUUAUGAAUAUUGCCGGGAUGAUCUGCAUGCGGAAGUCCUUGAACAACGUUCAUGAUGCGUAACAUUUUAUCUUUAACAUUUUUUUGUACCUUAUAGUUCAAUGAGUUCACAUUGUUUAUAUAGUUUCUUGACUUGUAAAAAGCCAAUGGUUAAACUUCGAAUAACUUGAAAAAAAAUUUAGAAGAAUUUUACUUGAAUGCAGGGGUGUGACUUGAGUCCCGAGAAUGGAGAGGGGAAACGUUGCAGAAUUUGAUUUGCCCAACAAAAACGUAGUGUAAUUUUUUAUGUUAAUACCAGCAAAAUCGCUUUUUACUUAGUUAUGAGUUGAUCCAAACGUCAUCGUUAAUAUUUGCCGUUUUAAUUUCCGCAAAAUUACAUGCUUUGCUCGACAAAACUGCUAACUUUUUGAAAGGGAGAGGCUGAGCCACCACAUAUCAAUCCCCUCUCCAGGAUUUACACCCCUGUUUCAACGUUACUGAUACAGCAAUUAACGAUUUGUGCACGCUAAAUUUACAUGUAUAUUAUCAUGGGAAUCAUCUCUUACAAACUAUAAAAAACUUUAAAAUUCAA